GAUGCAGCCUGCCGCGUGUGUGAUGAAGGCCUUCGGGUCGUAAGCACUGUCAGCGGAGAGGACGGCACUGAGAUAUAUGUUCGCUGAUUGACGUUACCCGCACAGAAAGCACCGGCUAACUCCGUG
This 126-nucleotide ribosomal RNA is filed under the name Pectobacterium carotovorum. RNAcentral describes it as "partial 16S ribosomal RNA". It matches the Rfam family "Bacterial small subunit ribosomal RNA", at positions 385 to 507 of the family's 1533-position model. Lineage: Bacteria; Pseudomonadati; Pseudomonadota; Gammaproteobacteria; Enterobacterales; Pectobacteriaceae. The record is from RNAcentral.